GACGAACGCUGGCGGCGUGCUUAACACAUGCAAGUCGAACGGAAAGGCCCUGCUUGCAGGGUGCUCGAGUGGCGAACGGGUGAGUAACACGUGGGUGAUCUGCCCCUUACUUUGGGAUAAGCCUGGGAAACUGGGUCUAAUACUGGAUAGGACCAUGCUGUAGGUGGUGUGGUGGAAAGAUUAGUUUCGGUAAGGGAUGAGCUCGCGGCCUAUCAGCUUGUUGGUGGGGUAAUGGCCUACCAAGGCGUCGACGGGUAGCCGGCCUGAGAGGGUGGACGGCCACAUUGGGACUGAGAUACGGGCCAGACUCCUACGGGAGGCAGCAGUGGGGAAUAUUGCACAAUGGGCGCAAGCCUGAUGCAGCGACGCCGCGUGGGGGAUGACGGCCUUCGGGUUGUAAACUCCUUUCAGCCAUGACGAAGCCCUUGUGGUGACGGUAGUGGUAGAAGAAGCACCGGCUAACUACGUG
This 469-nucleotide ribosomal RNA is filed under the name uncultured bacterium. Its description in RNAcentral is "partial 16S ribosomal RNA". It matches the Rfam family "Bacterial small subunit ribosomal RNA", at positions 28 to 507 of the family's 1533-position model. The record is from RNAcentral.